This 253-nucleotide ribosomal RNA is filed under the name uncultured bacterium. Its description in RNAcentral is "partial 16S ribosomal RNA". It matches the Rfam family "Bacterial small subunit ribosomal RNA", at positions 524 to 776 of the family's 1533-position model. The record is from RNAcentral.
GACAGAGGGUGCAAACGUUGUUCGGAAUUACUGGGCGUAAAGCGAGUGUAGGCGGUUUGGAAAGUCGGAUGUGAAAGCCCCGGGCUCAACCCGGGAAGUGCACUCGAUACUCCCAAGCUAGAGUAUCGGAGAGGUUGGUGGAAUUCUCGGUGUAGAGGUGAAAUUCGUAGAUAUCGAGAGGAGCACCGGUGGCGAAGGCGGCCAACUGGACGAAUACUGACGCUGAGACUCGAAAGCGUGGGGAGCAAACAGG